ACCCAGACGUUGCCUUCUCUCAAUCGAUCUCAUCGUCUUCUCCACUCCUCUUCUCACUAAUUCAUAUAAUCCAUCAAAUUUGCUGCAAACCCAGUGAGGAUUCGGCGGAGACGGAGACCCAAAGCGGAAUGAGUCUACCCCUCUUAUCCUUUCUCUCAAGUUCACAAAUUUGAGGAAAAAUCCAAACUCGUUUCGCUGAAGAAUCGACGGAGCCCAAAGUUCGAUAUCUCCAUUCUUCUCCUCUCAAUUCCCAAAUUGGUCGACAGUAUCCAGUGCUCAUUGUUUUAAUUUUUAGCUCUAUGGAUUUUGGUUUGGGAUUGUUAUUAUGAGUGAUUAUUUUGUUGUGUUUCAGAAUUUCAGAGAGAUCUGCUUUGGAUUUUUCAAGAGACGCUUUCUGAGCAGCUUCCCAGUAUCGAAAUGGCACAGGUCUGCAUUCAACGAUAUCGAUUGCUAGGCUGCUUGUACAAACUCAUACAUCUCAAAUUUGCAAUGAAAAUUCAAGAUUAUGGAGUCCGGUUUGCUGUCUUAAGAGGAGGCAAAUAAAGUGUGAGAAAAAGCAGAAGACCAGAACAGUUCUCCAAGUUAACUUGUAGGUUCUGGAAGGAAGACCACAACAGUCAGUACUCCAAGUAGAGGUGGAGCUUCUGUAAAGAAAACACCUUUGUUAUGAUGAUUUGUGAUAUCGGAGAGACCAAAGAAUUUGACGCAGCUUAAUCUGAUUUCUCAUUAACCAAUUGUAGUCGUUCACCUUUUGUAUGCAACUGUGUGUAUUAUGAUGUCAUGAUUUACUCAUUUAGUAUUACCCA
Fragaria vesca subsp. vesca is the source of this 806-nucleotide RNA transcript. RefSeq lists it as uncharacterized. Lineage: Eukaryota; Viridiplantae; Streptophyta; Magnoliopsida; Rosales; Rosaceae. The record is from RefSeq and is a predicted model, not a curated record. The transcript has 2 exons.